GGAGUUGGGGACGAAGUUCGGCUCCCGUAGGAGUCCGGGCGAAGUCUUCUUGCAACCAGAGUUGGGGACGAGGUCCGGCUCCCGUAGCAGUCCGGAUGGGGUCUGCCUGCAGUUGAAGUCGAGGAAGAAGUCCGGCUCCCGUAGGAGUCCGGAUGAAGUCUUCCUUCAUGUGAAGUUGGGGGCGAAGUCCGGCUCCCGUAGGAGCCCGGACGAAGUCUACCUGCAAUUGGAGUUGUGGGUGAAGUCCGGCUCCCGUAGGAGUCCGGAUGAAGUUUACCUGUAAGUGAAGUCAUGGGC
RNAcentral lists this long non-coding RNA (297 nucleotides) under Elaeis guineensis (African oil palm). RNAcentral describes it as "long non-coding RNA (EGUI_LNC000328)". The record is from RNAcentral. Lineage: Eukaryota; Viridiplantae; Streptophyta; Magnoliopsida; Arecales; Arecaceae.